RNAcentral lists this small RNA (28 nucleotides) under Bombyx mori (domestic silkworm). Its description in RNAcentral is "ovarian small RNA-15935". Lineage: Eukaryota; Metazoa; Arthropoda; Insecta; Lepidoptera; Bombycidae. The record is from RNAcentral.
GAGGUACUCCUUAAGGGUUGAAUGACUC